Non-coding RNA from Chiloscyllium plagiosum (whitespotted bambooshark), 967 nucleotides. The record is from RefSeq and is a predicted model, not a curated record. NCBI's taxonomy places the organism in Eukaryota, Metazoa, Chordata, Chondrichthyes, Orectolobiformes, Hemiscylliidae.
CCUCAUCCACCACCCUCUGUCUUCUACCUUUGAGCUAGUUCUGUAUCUAAAUGGCUAGUUCUCCUUGUAUUCAAUGAGAUUUAAUCUUGCUAAAUAGUCUCCCAUGGGGAACCUUGGAGAACGCCUUACUGAAGUCCAUGUAGAUCACGUCCACUGCUCUGCCCUCAUCAAUCCUCUUUGCUACUACUUCAAAAAACUCGGUGUUUUUUGAUAAAUGUCACCAUAAGCUCAAUCCUUGCAACAUAGCCAUACCAUACUCAAUAAGAUCAUCAGAUCAUAUCUCCCCUCAAGUCAAUGUUAUUUCUGAUCUUUUAUAUCAAUUCCAAAUCUGAAAUGGUUGCAAUUGUCAGAAAAAAUGAAAUAAAUUAAUUUCUUUUCUUAAAGUUGAUUUUUUUGUUUUGUACAUACAGUGACUGAUAUUAAAGAAUUUCAGGAGAUUUUCACACUUUUGUAGAGGAUGAUUUGAUUUUCUGAACGUUUCUAUAAGUCAAAAACAUGGAGCAAUGUUAACAUGGUGAAAAUGUCCCAAAAUGCUUCUCUGGAGUUUUACAAAACAACAUUUGAUCUUGAGUCCGAUAAGCGAACACAAAGGCAGGUCACCAAAGCUUAAUUAAGGAGGUACAGAAGAGAUAAGAAUUGGAGCAAUACCGAAACUGCCAAGUGGUAUGAGGCUGGUGAUGGUUACAGAGAUAGGAAGGGGAAUCAAUGGUGUGAGGUGACAAUAGUUAGACUUAAGCCAAUGCUCUUCUCACUUUGUUGUCAUUUUGUGACUACUCAUGUUUUUUGCAUCUGUUCCCAUUCUUUGAAGCUCCACACCCAAUAAGUAAUCAACAAUUUUUAAAUGACAACUUCAGAGAAAAAAAAUAACCAUCAUUCCUAAAUAACAUUAUCCUUCAUUUAGAAAUUCUUAUAGCUAUCCUACCCACCGAUCAGAAGGAUCGCCAACAUAAUAAAACUUAUAAAUUUU